AACGAACGCUGGCGGCGCGCCUAAUACAUGCAAGUCGAGCGAGAAGACGUAGCAAUACGUUUGUAAAGCGGCGAACGGGUGAGGAAUACAUGGGUAACCUACCCUCGAGUGGGGAAUAACUAGCCGAAAGGUUAGCUAAUACCGCGUACGCUCCUUGGACUUCGGUUCAGGGAGGAAAGCGAUACCGUGGGUAUCGCGCUCUUGGAUGGGCUCAUGUCCUAUCAGCUUGUUGGNGAGGUAACGGCUCACCAAGGCUUCGACGGGGUAGCUGGUCUGAGAGGACAAUCAGCCACACUGGCACUGCGACACGGGCCAGACUCCUACGGGAGCAGCAGUAGGAAUAUUGCGCAAUGGGCGAAAGCCUGACGCAGCGACGCCGCGUGGGGGAUGAAGGUCUUCGGAUU
Molecule: ribosomal RNA, 404 nt
Filed under: uncultured bacterium
Lineage: Bacteria
Description: bacterial SSU rRNA
Rfam family: Bacterial small subunit ribosomal RNA
Source: RNAcentral